UAGCAUAUCAAUAAGCGGAGGAAAAGAAACUAACAAGGAUUCCCCUAGUAACUGCGAGUGAAGCGGGAAAAGCUCAAAUUUAAAAUCUGGCAGCCUUUGGUUGUCCGAGUUGUAAUCUAGAGAAGUGUUAUCCGCGCUGGACCGUGUACAAGUCUCCUGGAAUGGAGCGUCAUAGAGGGUGAGAAUCCCGUCUUUGACACGGACUGCCAGGGCUUUGUGAUGCGCUCUCAAAGAGUCGAGUUGUUUGGGAAUGCAGCUCAAAAUGGGUGGUAAAUUCCAUCUAAAGCUAAAUAUUGGCGAGAGACCGAUAGCGAACAAGUACCGUGAGGGAAAGAUGAAAAGAACUUUGGAAAGAGAGUUAAACAGUACGUGAAAUUGCUGAAAGGGAAACGCUUGAAGUCAGUCGCGUUGUCCAGGGAUCAACCUUGCUUUUGCUUGGUGCACUUUCUGGUCGACGGGUCAGCAUCAAUUUUGACUAUUGGAAAAAGAUUAGGGGAAUGUGGCAUCUUUGGAUGUGUUAUAGCCCUUGGUUGCAUACAAUGGUUGGGAUUGAGGAACUCAGCACGCCGCAAGGCCGGGUUUUUAACCACGUACGUGCUUAGGAUGCUGGCAUAAUGGCUUUAAUCGACCCGUCUUGAAACACGGACCAAGGAGUCUAACAUGCCUGCGAGUGUUUGGGUGGAAAACCCGAGCGCGUAAUGAAAGUGAAAGUUGAGAUCCCUGUCGUGGGGAGCAUCGACGCCCGGACCAGACCUUUUGUGACGGUUCCGCGGUAGAGCAUGUAUGUUGGGACCCGAAAGAUGGUGAACUAUGCCUGAAUAGGGUGAAGCCAGAGGAAACUCUGGUGGAGGCUCGUAGCGAUUCUGACGUGCAAAUCGAUCGUCAAAUUUGGGUAUAGGGGCGAAAGACUAAUCGAACC
This 919-nucleotide ribosomal RNA is filed under the name uncultured Cortinarius. RNAcentral describes it as "eukaryotic LSU rRNA". It matches the Rfam family "Eukaryotic large subunit ribosomal RNA", at positions 36 to 941 of the family's 3401-position model. Lineage: Eukaryota; Fungi; Basidiomycota; Agaricomycetes; Agaricales; Cortinariaceae. The record is from RNAcentral.